CGAGGAGCGGGGCCGGAAGUGGCGCCACAGGUCGAUGGUGAAGAUGGUGCUGGCACUGUUGAAGAUGGACGUCAGGGAGGACAUGAGGGCCGCGAUCAUCACUGACAUCAUCAGGCCCCGGAGCCCUACAGACCAAGGGCCUGUCCCCUGGGUGCCGCGUAGCCACUGCAGUCCAUGAUGACAGACCUGGACACAUCUCCCUCAGCUCUUACCUGGGAAGAGGAUCCGGCUGAUCAUGCCUGGCAUCACCAUCAUGAAGAGGGGCAAGAUCUUCAGGACUCAGGCAUGAGUGCUGGCUCUGGAAGAGAAACUGAAAGAUUUAAUCAGAGGUAAGGGCAGGCUCUGCUGGCUCCAGACAAAGGAAAUAGCUGAAAACAACCAAAGAGUGAGUGAGCAGGACUGACGCCUGACGCAUGACAAUGGCUCCGGGAAUCCUUGAAUGCUGCGAUUCAAAGAUGUCCUGAAUGGAAGACUCGUGCUGAGCUGGAAAAGGCAAAACAAGAGGCCUGGUUUUCAAAGGAGCGGAAGGAACCUCAGGAUUCUGCCCCUCGCUCACAUUUGCCUCCCCUGUGAGCAUGCACCAGGAACCACCUGGGCGAAGGGCCGAGGGGUUUGGUUGGCCGUUCGCACAUGCUGUUACCCUACAGCGCACACAGCUGUCGCAGUCGUGUGCUGUGGCUGGGUACAACACUGCGCACGCAUUAGGGGGCCAGGUCUAAGCUUCCGUCCUUUGGAAAAGACCUUCUUCAUGGCAGCAAAAGGCAGUAUUUGGACACUGACUCUCCCAUCGCUGUCGUAGCUGGCGGGGAGCCCAACCACAACAGCAUGAGAACGGGGAAGUGAAAGUGAACAGGUACGCAGCAGGAGGCGAAACCGUCCUGUUCAGCUUCACUGCCCUGGGGGACUGAAAUGCAGAGAACACAAACAGCAUCGAUGGACAACUGAGGAGAUUUUAAGAGGAUUUCUGCUUCAAUAAUCUCCCUUGUUAUUAAGAUCAUGGGGGAUGUUACUGUGAAAUACAGCGGACGAGUGCUAUGCUGACAGCCUGCCUGGGUGAAGGCAUUCUCUUUCUGACCCCUGCUCUUUUGCCAUGAGAGUGUCCCCGUGUCUGCUCAGUGUCAGUCUCACUCUGGGAACAACGUGAAUGCACAGGGAAGCGCGCUGACUUACUCGUAGG
Molecule: long non-coding RNA, 1177 nt
Organism: Alligator sinensis (Chinese alligator)
Lineage: Eukaryota; Metazoa; Chordata; Crocodylia; Alligatoridae
Exons: 4
Source: RefSeq, a predicted model, not a curated record